This is a non-coding RNA of Vicugna pacos (alpaca), 1078 nucleotides long. NCBI's taxonomy places the organism in Eukaryota, Metazoa, Chordata, Mammalia, Artiodactyla, Camelidae. The record is from RefSeq and is a predicted model, not a curated record.
GCCCUGCACAGCCUUUGGGCUCUCAGCGCAGGGUAGAGGCCACGAGGACAAGGGAGGACGAGGCUGAGGCGGGGAGCCACAAGUCGUACCCCGUGCGCGCGCCCCACCCUCCGGCCGGAACCGUCCGAACUUACGGGGUUUUUGAGAAACCCCUGUCGUUUUCUGUGGUGGCUGCGCCGAUUUACAUUCCCACCAACAGUGUACAGAGGUUCCCUUUCCUCCUCAUCCUUGAGACGUUUGUUACCUGUGUUCUUUUUGAUGAUGGCCAUGCUGACAGGUGUGAGACGGUGUCUCACUGUGAUUUUGAUGUGCAUUUCCCUGAUACCAGUGAUGUUGCGCAGCUUUUCCUGCUCCUGUUGGUCAUCUGCAUUUCCUGUUUUAGAAAAAUGUCUAUCCAGUUCUGCCCUUUUUUAAAUGGGUUGUUUGUUCUUUUGCUUUUUAACUGAAAGAUAGUUGAUUUUAAAUGUAUUAGUUUCUGGUGUACGGCAUGGGUGGACUUGAAGGGCACGAUCCUAAGAGAAGUAAGUCAAAGACAAACACUGUAAGAGAUCACUUACACGUGGAAUCUAAAAAAACACAACAAACUAGUGAAUAUAACAGAAAAGGAAAACUCACAGAUGUGGAGAAGGAGCGACUGGUUACCAGUGGGGAGGGGGAGGGGCAAGAUGGAGGUGGAGGAUUAAGCGGUACAAACUGUCAGGUUUAAGUAAGCUACAAGGAUGUAUCGUACAACAUGAGGAAUAUAGCCAAUAUUUUAUAAUAACUAUAAGUGGAACAUAACUUUUAAAAAUUGUGAACACUAUAUUGUAUACUUGUCACAUACAAUAUUAUACAUCGACUAUACUUCAAUUUAAAAAAUAUAUUAUAAAAUAAAUAUUUAAAAAAAAACCUGAACCACAGAAGAGCCAAUGAAUGGUUACAUCCGUAAGUGGGAAGCGGGGGACAUGGCUAAAGGAAAAGUGCACCAUGCUGUACCUGGUACAUAUCUGUGUAUUUUGAUACUGAUUCACUGUGAAACCUGCGGGCUUCUUAAAACAUUCUCUAUGAAACAUCUGUAAAUACAGUCUCUUAACGGUUA